Molecule: ribosomal RNA, 405 nt
Filed under: uncultured bacterium
Lineage: Bacteria
Description: partial 16S ribosomal RNA
Rfam family: Bacterial small subunit ribosomal RNA
Source: RNAcentral
AUUGAACGCUGGCGGCAGGCUUAACACAUGCAAGUCGAGCGAGCGGCGGACGGGUGAGUAAUGUCUGGGAAACUGCCUGAUGGAGGGGGAUAACUACUGGAAACGGUAGCUAAUACCGCAUACCAUCAGAUGUGCCCAGAUGGGAUUAUCUAGUCGGUGGGGUAAUGGCUCACCUAGGCGACGAUCCAUAGCUGGUCUGAGAGGAUGAACAGACACUCUGGAACUGACACACGGGUCAGAAACCUACGGGAUGCAGCAGUGGGAAGAUGGCACAAUGGGAGCAAGACUAAUGCAGCCAGGCCGAGUGUGUGAAGAAGGCCUUCGGGUUGUAAAGCACUUUCAGCGAGGAGGCGUUACCGACAGAAGAAGCACCGGCUAACUCCGUGCCAGCAGCCGCGGUAAUAC